AUUGCCUCUGUUUUUUUUUAAGAAAAACCAAUCUUGAUGAUCAAUUUUUUCUUUUAUAGAACAUGAUAAACUCUCCACCUAUUUUUUUCUUCUUUUUUCUAGAGGAAGGAAAAAUUUAUCUUUUCCAAUGACUUGGUAGGCAUAUUUGGUCACUCAUUGUGGUGCUAUGGGAAUUAUUAGAUCUAUAGAUAUAGUAAUGUUGUAGCAUCCGGACCCAGAAAUUUGAC
RNAcentral lists this long non-coding RNA (227 nucleotides) under Carica papaya (papaya). Its description in RNAcentral is "long non-coding RNA (CPAP_LNC012136)". Lineage: Eukaryota; Viridiplantae; Streptophyta; Magnoliopsida; Brassicales; Caricaceae. The record is from RNAcentral.